Non-coding RNA from Dipodomys ordii (Ord's kangaroo rat), 70 nucleotides. Lineage: Eukaryota; Metazoa; Chordata; Mammalia; Rodentia; Heteromyidae. The record is from Rfam.
GGGAAUGUGGCUUAGUGGUAAAGUACUUGCCUAGCAUGCAUGAAGCCCCGGGUUUAAUUCCUCAGUACCA